Mus caroli (Ryukyu mouse) is the source of this 1107-nucleotide long non-coding RNA. RefSeq lists it as uncharacterized. The record is from RefSeq and is a predicted model, not a curated record. Lineage: Eukaryota; Metazoa; Chordata; Mammalia; Rodentia; Muridae.
CUGCCAUGCUGGUUCCUGAUACCAACAUAGCUCCCUUUUUCUUAUCAUCAAGAGGAAAAAAGGAGCUCACUGCUUUCUAAUACACAAGGAUGCCACAUACUGGAAAUGAAUGAGAAGGCUUUGAUUACAAAGGAGGUGGAUGCUCUCAUAAAUCACGCAUGCACACAGCAAUCACCUGAUAGUACUUUUGCCUUCCCUGAAAGUGAGAAAAAUCAAUGGCCUUGACAGGCAGUCUCAUUAGCAUACGUUGAGGAGUCCGGAUAUGUAGAAAUCCUUCGCAUUUUUCACACAGUGACAUUAAUGAAUGGCGUGUAUUCAAGUGAAGCCAUUCCCAAAGAAGCCAGGUGUGUUUCCAAAAUGUUAACCCAGGAACAGAGCCCAGUACCGCAGGAGCACAGCCAUGAUGACUCCAGGCAGUUGGACAAGACAGAAAAUCAGUGGUAGCUCCGCAGGCAAGCUAGCAAGUGCCUGAGACAACUUGUCACGUCAGGAACCCACUGUGUUCAAUUCAGCAUCAUCUCAGCCACUCCAAAUGCCUGAAAGCACGGAGCUGCUUGUUAAAAUGAAUUGUAAAAAUCAAAUUGGUCUGGAAGAUGUCUGAUCUGAAGCAAAGGAAGAGCAUCAAUUAAAUUUGAAGUCAUAUUAUCUUUGUGCUGGUGACCUGGCAAGCAUGCCUUUUGUUCUUUUUCAAUUCUAUUGUUUCUACCUUGGAAUUUUAAGCUAGUCCUGACCCCGAACCUAGAGAUCCACCUCACCAGGAGAACAUACCAGCUAAAACUGUGAGUGAGAAAAAUGAAGAGAUAAAUAUGCAACUCAGAUCAUCCUCUUGAUUAAGAGCGCUCUUAAAACUUCAUACUGUCUGGGACCGAUGUCCUGAAGUCUGCACGUGAUCUGAGGCUGCAUCACUCCGUGACACUUCCACUCACUGUCCUUACUGCUCUAGCUCAUGGCCCACCAGCGGAGUAGUCCUUUCUGACUUGGUCAGAACUCACAAAUCAUCCUUCCAGCCUGGAAGUGUGUGACACCUUCCUCACCUGACUUCCUAAGAGAAAGCUGAGGAUGUGGCACAGAAUAAAAGGUUAAUAAAUUCAUACUGGGCAUAUAAAG